Molecule: ribosomal RNA, 253 nt
Filed under: uncultured bacterium
Lineage: Bacteria
Description: partial 16S ribosomal RNA
Rfam family: Bacterial small subunit ribosomal RNA
Source: RNAcentral
UACGUAGGGUGCAAGCGUUGUCCGGAAUUAUUGGGCGUAAAGAGCUCGUAGGCGGUCUGUCGCGUCUGCUGUGAAAAUCCAGGGCUCAACCCUGGACCUGCAGUGGGUACGGGCAGACUAGAGUGCGGUAGGGGAGAUCGGAAUUCCUGGUGUAGCGGUGAAAUGCGUAGAGAUGUGGAGGAACACCGAUGGCGAAGGCAGCCCCCUGGGUCAACACUGACGCUCAUGCACGAAAGCGUGGGGAGCAAACAGG